This 93-nucleotide non-coding RNA is filed under the name bovine gut metagenome. RNAcentral's name for it is "TPP riboswitch (THI element)". It matches the Rfam family "TPP riboswitch aptamer (THI element)", at positions 11 to 88 of the family's 105-position model. From Rfam's summary of the family: Vitamin B(1) in its active form thiamin pyrophosphate (TPP) is an essential coenzyme that is synthesised by coupling of pyrimidine and thiazole moieties in bacteria. The previously detected thiamin-regulatory element, thi box was extended, resulting in a new, highly conserved RNA secondary structure, the THI element, which is widely distributed in eubacteria and also occurs in some archaea. Analysis of operon structures identified a large number of new candidate thiamin-regulated genes, mostly transporters, in various prokaryotic organisms. The record is from RNAcentral.
AAAGGGGAGCUGGGUAUUCCCGGCUGAGACAGGUCCACAAGAGGAUCUGAACCCUGGAACCUGAUCCGGAUAAUGCCGGCGUAGGAAACAGUA